AUUAGAUACCCUGGUAGUCCACGCCCUAAACGAUGUCAACUAGGUGUUGGGGGAGGAGACUUCCUUAGUACCGUAGCUAACGCGUUAAGCAUCCCGCCUGUGGAGUACGGUCGCAAGACUAAAACAUAAAGGAAUUGACGGGGACCCGCACAAGCGGUGGAGCGUGUUGUUUAAUUCGAUGGUAAGCGAAGAACCUUACCCAGACUUGACAUCCUUGGAAGCACUGCGAAAGCAGAGUGUGCCUCCGGGAACCAAGUGACAGGUGUUGCAUGGCCGUCGUCAGCUCGUGUCGUGAGAUGUUUGGUUAAGUCCAUCAACGAGCGCAACCCUUGUGGCUAGUUGAAUUUUUCUAGUCAGACUGCCCUGGUAACAGGGAGGAAGGAGGGGAUGAUGUCAGGUCAGUAUUACCCUUACGUCUGGGGCUACAAACACGCUACAAUGGCCGGUACAAAGGGCUGCCAAGUCGCGAGACGGAGCAAAUCCCAUCAAAACCGGUCCCAGUUCGGAUUGCAGGCUGAAACUCGCCUGCAUGAAGUCGGAAUCGCUAGUAACGGUAGGUCAGCACACUACCGUGAAUACGUUCCCGGGUCUUGUACACACCGCCCGUCAAACCAUGAAAGUCGCCAAUACCUGACGUCUUAGCUAGUCUAGGCCUAAGGUAGGGGAGAUGAUUGGGGUUAAGUCGUAACAAGGUAAC
RNAcentral lists this ribosomal RNA (697 nucleotides) under uncultured Candidatus Saccharibacteria bacterium. RNAcentral describes it as "bacterial SSU rRNA". It matches the Rfam family "Bacterial small subunit ribosomal RNA", at positions 777 to 1500 of the family's 1533-position model. Lineage: Bacteria; Candidatus Saccharimonadota. The record is from RNAcentral.